Molecule: ribosomal RNA, 626 nt
Filed under: uncultured bacterium
Lineage: Bacteria
Description: bacterial SSU rRNA
Rfam family: Bacterial small subunit ribosomal RNA
Source: RNAcentral
AGUCGAACGGUAGCAGGAAGUGCUUGCACUUUGCUGACGAGUGGCGGACGGGUGAGUAAUACUUAGGAACAUGCCUUUGUGUGGGGGAUAACCAUUGGAAACGAUGGCUAAUACCGCAUAAUGUCUUUGGACCAAAGAGGGCUUUCGGGCUCUCGCGCAAAGAGUGGCCUAAGUGAGAUUAGCUUGUUGGUGAGGUAAAGGCUCACCAAGGCGACGAUCUCUAGCUGUUCUGAGAGGAAGAUCAGCCACACUGGGACUGAGACACGGCCCAGACUCCUACGGGAGGCAGCAGUGGGGAAUAUUGGGCAAUGGGCGCAAGCCUGACCCAGCCAUGCCGCGUGUGUGAAGAAGGCUUUCGGGUUGUAAAGCACUUUAAGUUGGGAGGAAGGCUGCUUAGUUAAUACCUAAGUAGAUUGACGUUACCAACAGAAUAAGCACCGGCUAAUUCCGUGCCAGCAGCCGCGGUAAUACGGAAGGUGCGAGCGUUAAUCGGAAUUACUGGGCGUAAAGAGCACGUAGGCGGUUUGUUAAGUUGGAUGUGAAAGCCCAGGGCUCAACCUUGGAAUUGCAUCCGAUACUGGCAGGCUAGAGUACAGUAGAGGGAGGUGGAAUUUCCGGUGUAGCGG